Molecule: ribosomal RNA, 306 nt
Filed under: uncultured bacterium
Lineage: Bacteria
Description: partial 16S ribosomal RNA
Rfam family: Bacterial small subunit ribosomal RNA
Source: RNAcentral
GACAGCAGUAGCCGCGGUAAUACGGAGGAUCCGAGCGUUAUCCGGAAUUAUUGGGUUUAAAGGGUGCGUAGGCGGACAGAUAAGUCAGUGGUGAAAGACGGUGGCUCAACCAUCGCAGUGCCGUUGAUACUGUUUGUCUUGAAUAUGGAUGAGGUAGGCGGAAUGUGGCAAGUAGCGGUGAAAUGCAUAGAUAUGCCACAGAACACCGAUUGCGAAGGCAGCUUACCAAGGCAAAAUUGACGCUGAGGCACGAAAGCGUGGGGAUCGAACAGGAUUAGAUACCCGGGUAGUCCCUGUCUCUUAUAC